CUCACUUAUAAUACAGCACGCGGCGCCGUUAAUCAGAAGCAGCCGGUUCUGGGGGCCCGAAGGUCAUCAGCCGAGGAGAGGAAAUUAUCGAUGGAAAUAAAGGUGCUGGACCUCCCUUUUAACCAGCACCACCCACCUCGGCGACCCUGACCUCUGACCUCUGCCCUAACCACCCCAGCGUCACUCUCCUGCCUGCUCAGCUCCACGUAACCACCUCGCCGACGCUGGUUGAAAGGCAUUCUGGGUAAAGACUCAAAUGGAAAGAGAUGCUGCAGGUUUAGGAGACAAGAGGUGAAUGAAGUCAGAGUAUUAACACG
Molecule: long non-coding RNA, 317 nt
Organism: Gasterosteus aculeatus aculeatus (three-spined stickleback)
Lineage: Eukaryota; Metazoa; Chordata; Actinopteri; Perciformes; Gasterosteidae
Source: Ensembl